AACGAACGCUGGCGGCAUGCCUAACACAUGCAAGUCGAACGAGACCUUCGGGUCUAGUGGCGCACGGGUGCGCAACGCGUGGGAACCUGCCCUUAGGUUCGGAAUAACUCCCCGAAAGGGGUGCUAAUACCGGAUAAUGUCUUCGGACCAAAGAUUUAUCGCCUUUGGAUGGGCCCGCGUUGGAUUAGCUAGUUGGUAGGGUAAAAGCCUACCAAGGCGACGAUCCAUAGCUGGUCUGAGAGGAUGAUCAGCCACACUGGGACUGAGACACGGCCCAGACUCCUACGGGAGGCAGCAGUGGGGAAUAUUGGACAAUGGGCGAAAGCCUGAUCCAGCAAUGCCGCGUGAGUGAUGAAGGCCUUAGGGUUGUAAAGCUCUUUUACCCGGGAUGAUAAUGGCAGUACCGGGAGAAUAAGCUCCGGCUAACUCCGUG
This 433-nucleotide ribosomal RNA is filed under the name uncultured bacterium. RNAcentral's name for it is "partial 16S ribosomal RNA". It matches the Rfam family "Bacterial small subunit ribosomal RNA", at positions 29 to 507 of the family's 1533-position model. The record is from RNAcentral.